GAUGAACGCUGGCGGCGUGCCUAAUACAUGCAAGUCGAGCGAACGGACGAGAAGCUUGCUUUUCUGAUGUUAGCGGCGGACGGGUGAGUAACACGUGGAUAACCUACCUAUAAGACUGGGAUAACUUCGGGAAACCGGAGCUAAUACCGGAUAAUAUUUUGAACCGCAUGGUUCAAAAGUGAAAGACGGUCUUGCUGUCACUUAUAGAUGGAUCCGCGCUGCAUUAGCUAGUUGGUAAGGUAACGGCUUUCCAAGGCAACGAUGCAUAGCCGACCUGAGAGGGUGAUCGGCCACACUGGAACUGCGACACGGUCCAGACUCCUACGGGAGGCAGCAGUAGGGAAUCUUCCGCAAUGGGCGAAAGCCUGACGGAGCAACGCCGCGUGAGUGAUGAAGGUCUUCGGAUCGUAAAACUCUGUUAUUAGGGAAGAACAUAUGUGUAAGUAACUGUGCACAUCUUGACGGUACCUAAUCAGAAAGCCACGGCUAACUACGUG
RNAcentral lists this ribosomal RNA (497 nucleotides) under uncultured bacterium. RNAcentral's name for it is "partial 16S ribosomal RNA". It matches the Rfam family "Bacterial small subunit ribosomal RNA", at positions 28 to 507 of the family's 1533-position model. The record is from RNAcentral.